Molecule: ribosomal RNA, 372 nt
Filed under: uncultured organism
Description: bacterial SSU rRNA
Rfam family: Bacterial small subunit ribosomal RNA
Source: RNAcentral
CGUAGGGACCAAGCGUUGUUCGGAUUUACUGGGCGUAAAGGGCGCGUAGGCGGCGUGGUAAGUCACUUGUGAAAUCUCUGAGCUUAACUCAGAACGGCCAAGUGAUACUGCUGUGCUUGAGUGUGGAAGGGGCAAUCGGAAUUCUUGGUGUAGCGGUGAAAUGCGUAGAUAUCAAGAGGAACACCUGAGGUGAAGACGGGUUGCUGGGCCAACACUGACGCUGAGGCGCGUAAGCCAGGGGAGCAAACGGGAUUAGAUACCCCGGUAGUCCUGGCCCUAAACGAUGAAUACUUGGUGUCUGGAGUUUUAGUGCUCCGGGUGCCGUCGCUAACGUUUUUAGUAUUCCGCCUGGGGAGUACGCUCGCAAGAGUG